Molecule: signal recognition particle RNA, 302 nt
Filed under: Callithrix jacchus (white-tufted-ear marmoset)
Lineage: Eukaryota; Metazoa; Chordata; Mammalia; Primates; Cebidae
Description: Metazoan signal recognition particle RNA (ENSCJAG00000075092.1)
Rfam family: Metazoan signal recognition particle RNA
About the family: The signal recognition particle (SRP) is a universally conserved ribonucleoprotein. It is involved in the co-translational targeting of proteins to membranes.
Source: Rfam by way of RNAcentral
GCCGGGUGCGGUGGCACAUGCCUGUAGUCUCAGCUACUCAGGAGGCUGAGGUGGGAGGAUCGCUUGAGCCCAGCAGUUCUGGGCUGUAGUGCACUAUGCCGAUUGGGUGUCCUCACUAAGUUCAGCAUCAGUAUGGUGACAUACUGUGGGGGUGGGGGGGCACCAGGUUGCUUAAGGAAGGGUGACUCGGCCCAGGUCGGAAACGGAGCAGGUCAAAACUUUUGUGCUGAUCAGUAGUCGGAUCGUACCUGUGAAUAGCCACUGCACUCCAGCCUGGGCAACAUAGGGAGAGCCUGUCUCUA